Molecule: ribosomal RNA, 406 nt
Filed under: uncultured bacterium
Lineage: Bacteria
Description: partial 16S ribosomal RNA
Rfam family: Bacterial small subunit ribosomal RNA
Source: RNAcentral
AUUGAACGCUGGCGGCAGGCCUAACACAUGCAAGUCGAACGAGUGGCGGACGGGUGAGUAAUGUCUGGGAAACUGCCUGUUGGAGGGGGAUAACUACUGGAAACGGUAGCUAAUACCGCAUACCAUCGGAUGUGCCCAGAUGGGAUGAGCUAGUAGGUGGGGUAACGGCUCACCUAGGCGACGAUCCCUCGCUGGUCUGAGAGGAUGACCAGCCACACUGGCACGAAGACAAGGUCGAGACUCCGCCGAGAGUCAGCAGUGGGGAAUAUUGCACAAUGGGCGCAAGCCGGAUGCAGCCAUGCCGCGUGUAUGAAGAGGGCCAUCAGGUUGUAAAGUACUUUCAGCGGUGAGGCGUUACCCGCAGAAGAAGCACCGGCUAACUCCGUGCCAGCAGCCGCGGUAAUAC